GAUGAACGCUGGCGGCGUGCCUAACACAUGCAAGUCGAACGAAGCGCCUUACCGGAUUCUUCGGAUGAGGGGCGGGAGGCGGAGUGGCGGACGGGUGAGUAACGCGUGGGUAACCCGCACGGUACAGGGGGAUAACAGAUGGAAACGGCUGCUAAUACCGCAUAAGCGCACGCGGAGACAUCUCAUGGUGUGAAAAACUCCGGUGGUACAGGUUGGGCCCGCGUCUGAUUAGCUGGUUGGCAGGGUAACGGCCUACCAAGGCAACGAUCAGUAGCCGGUCUGAGAGGGUGAUCGGCCACAUUGGAACUGAGACACGGUCCAAACUCCUACGGGAGGCAGCAGUGGGGAAUAUUGCACAAUGGGGGAAACCCUGAUGCAGCAACGCCGCGUGAGUGAAGAAGUCUUUCGGUAUGUAAAGCUCUAUCAGCAGGGAAGAUAAUGACGGUACCUGACGAAGAAGCUCCGGCUAACUACGUG
This 477-nucleotide ribosomal RNA is filed under the name uncultured bacterium. RNAcentral describes it as "partial 16S ribosomal RNA". It matches the Rfam family "Bacterial small subunit ribosomal RNA", at positions 28 to 507 of the family's 1533-position model. The record is from RNAcentral.